AGUGAACGCUGGCGGUAGGCCUAACACAUGCAAGUCGAACGGCAGCACAGUAAGAGUUUGCUCUUACGGGUGGCGAGUGGCGGACGGGUGAGGAAUACAUCGGAAUCUACUUUUUCGUGGGGGAUAUCGUAGGGAAACUUACGCUAAUACCGCAUAUGACCUACGGGUGAAAGCAGUGGAUCUUCGGACCUUGCGCGUUUGAAUGAGCCGAUGUCGGAUUAGCUAGUUGGCGGGGUAACGGCACACCAAGGCGACGAUGCGUAGCUGGUCUGAGAGGAUGAUCAGCCACACUGGAACUGAGACACGGUCCAGACUCCUACGGGAGGCAGCAGUGGGGAAUAUUGGGCAAUGGGCGCAAGCCUGAUCCAGCCAUACCGCGUGAGUGAAGAAGGCCUUCGGGUUGUAAAGCCCUUUUGUUGGGAAAGAAAAAAAGCAGGUUAAUACCCCGCUGUUCUGACGGUACCCAAAGAAUAAGCACCGGCUAACUUCGUG
Molecule: ribosomal RNA, 492 nt
Filed under: uncultured bacterium
Lineage: Bacteria
Description: partial 16S ribosomal RNA
Rfam family: Bacterial small subunit ribosomal RNA
Source: RNAcentral